RNAcentral lists this ribosomal RNA (460 nucleotides) under uncultured bacterium. Its description in RNAcentral is "partial 16S ribosomal RNA". It matches the Rfam family "Bacterial small subunit ribosomal RNA", at positions 338 to 795 of the family's 1533-position model. The record is from RNAcentral.
CCUACGGGUGGCAGCAGUGAGGAAUAUUGGUCAAUGGGCUUACGCCUGAACCAGCCAAGUCGCGUGAGGGAAGACUGCCCUAUGGAUUGUAAACCUCUUUAGGCGGGGAGCAAUGCCGGGCACGCGUGCCCGGAGGGAGAGUACCCGCAGCAUAAGCAUCGGCUAACUCCGUGCCAGCCGCCGCGGUAAGACGGAGGAUGCGAGCGUUAUCCGGAUUUAUUGGGUUUAAAGGGUGCGUCGGCGGAUUUUUAAGUCAGCGGUAAAAUGUCCGGGCUCAACCCGGGCCGGCCGUUGAAACUGGGGAUCUUGAGUGGGCGAGAAGUAUGCGGAAGGCGUGGUGUAGCGGUGAAAUGCAUAGAUAGCACGCAGAACUCCGAUUGCGAAGGCAGCAUACCGGCGCCCGACUGACGCUGAGGCACGAAAGCGUGGGGAUCGAACAGGAUUAGAUACCCCUGUAGUC